UCCUACGGGAGGCAGCAGUAAGGAAUAUUGGUCAAUGGAGGCAACUCUGAACCAGCCAUGCCGCGUGAAGGAUUAAGGCCCUCUGGGUUGUAAACUUCUUUUAUAUGGGAAGAAACUCACGCAUUCCUGCGUGAUUGACGGUACCAUAGGAAUAAGCACCGGCUAACUCCGUGCCAGCAGCCGCGGUAAU
Molecule: ribosomal RNA, 190 nt
Filed under: uncultured bacterium
Lineage: Bacteria
Description: partial 16S ribosomal RNA
Rfam family: Bacterial small subunit ribosomal RNA
Source: RNAcentral